UCUCUCACUUCAGUAGCACAUAUCGUAAAAAUCAGCACGAUACAGAGCAGAUUAGCAUGGCUCCUGCCCAAGGGUACAUUCUUAUCACCUUUGCAAUUAUCCGGACUUCU
Small nuclear RNA from Peromyscus maniculatus bairdii (prairie deer mouse), 110 nucleotides. Lineage: Eukaryota; Metazoa; Chordata; Mammalia; Rodentia; Cricetidae. The record is from Ensembl.